This is a non-coding RNA of Leptonychotes weddellii (Weddell seal), 4508 nucleotides long. The record is from RefSeq and is a predicted model, not a curated record. NCBI's taxonomy places the organism in Eukaryota, Metazoa, Chordata, Mammalia, Carnivora, Phocidae.
AUUUACAGGUAUUAGAAAAUAUUAUCUUUCUUUUGUGCUUUUUUUCCCCAUUUAAAAAUGACAACAGCAUUUUGGACACACUGUCCAAAAGCAGGAGUUAGGCUAGAUUUGGCCUGUGGGUCAUAGUUUGUUGACUCCUGGUCCAAGGAAGGGGCACGUGACCCACAAAAGGCCAAAGUCGUGCCAUGAGAUUUAAAACGUGGACACUGGGAGAGAACGUGUGCCUCUUCCUUUUGGAUCAUGAUUUCCAUGGCUGUCUUCCUUCCCACAUGGAGAGAGGCCGUUUGUGGCAGGAGAGAAUGAGGCCAACAGCAAAGAGAAUUAGAGCUAAGCAGAGCCAGCUAAGAGAGAGAGAAAAAGAGCCCUGAAAACCUCCUUUGAGCCUCAAGGUCUAGGCACACCUACGAAUUCCAUGAGCCAGUGAAUUCCUUUUAUUUUUCUUCUAAUCGACUUUGAGUCAGGUGUUGGUCACCUCUACAGCGAGAGAGCUCUGAGAGAGACGUGUGGGCUUGUUUUCCUCACCCUGCGCAAUACUGCCUUACACAAUUCUUCAGAAAAAGGCAAUCCUAGCGUGCAUUCUGUACUCAUCACAGACCACACAGUUCGGAAAGAAUGAUGGAAGAGUGAAUUUUGUCAGGGCACGCUUAAUCCCUUUUCUGGGAAAGAGAACUUGUCCGGAUCAGGAAUCCCCACUGUUCCCUCUGGCCGUUCUGGGCCCCGGGGAGUGGUGGUCCUAGAGUUCUUUCCCAGUUGCCCGGCCGGCUGAGAGGAUGAGCAGCUGAGACACAAUGAUGAACAGCCUGGGUUAAUCCAGGCUGCAGUUUACAACUCCCUUGCAGGACUGACCCAGGAUUUCCUUCAGACGUAUCACUUCACGGCAGCUGGCUGGCUUGACUUUGCCAACUGCUUGACCCCUGGCUGCACAGGAAGCUUCUGCAGGUAGAACGUGGCCUGCCUGAGGAGCCGAGACUGCCUGAGGAGCCGAGACACCCUGAGCUCCUGAGGAACAGAGACACCCUGAGCUCCUGAGGACAGAACAGAAAGGCUUGUACAAACAGGGUUUGCCUGAUGCAGGCUGAGAAAGGAGCCAGGGAAAACUAAUCCUCCACCGCCAUCCGCUAAGCCUCACCUUGAUGGAUCAGCCCUUGGAGUUUUGGAUUGAGGACAAAGAACUACCAUAUUAAUAGCUAUGACUUAUGGGACAAUUACUGUACCUCUUUCCAUUUCUUAUGAAAAUAGCUGCCAUUGUUUUUCAAGCAAUCGCUCUGUGCCAGGCACUUCACUUAUGUGAUUCUUAGUCAUCUUAACACCCCUACAAAGUAGACAAGAAAUAGUACCUACUCUUUUAUGGACAAGGUAACUGAGAUGACUAGAGGUUAAGAAAUGACGAACAUGAGGAAGGAAGGGGAGCUUGUACCCAAUCAGUCUCUACUUCACUCCCCCUGCCAAAGGGGAUGAGGGAUUAAAUGAGAAGAGGGGGGCAAUUCUUUCCCAGCCCUCAGUAGUUUGUCAGGAGGUCAGGAGGGGUCAAGCCACCCGAAAUAGAAAUGGGGCUUGAGGCGUGAGUCCCUCCUGAGGCUCUGGGCCUCUUUGAAGGGAGGGAUUAUUGUUAUUUUGUGUUUCCCUGGUGUACCCUCAGCAUAACUCAUCCUUGGCUCUGAGCCGGGGCACAAAAAAAAUGUUUGUUGAAUGAAUGAGUAAAUGAGUCCAAGUGUCUGCUUUCUGUAAAACAGGAAAUGGCUGAGGGGACCCUGACUCGAUGAGGUCUUCUCUUUGUUUAAGUUGCUUUUGAGAACUCUAAGAAGUCAGGGGGGCUCUUAGGGUCAUCCACGCUACCAUUCAGUGUGGUGGAGUAGAAAUUUACCCAAUUUCACAGGUCAUUUCAUGGGCAGUGAUUAACCUAAGGACACUGAGAUGGCCUGCAGGAGUCUACGCAUCUUUCAAAAACACCUCCUACUAGACUGCUGAGGAAUACUUUGGAGCAGGAAAAGGGUCUGAUUCCAUAAACUUUCUACAGAAAGUAGGUCUUUUUUUUUUUUCUGAAACUUAACAAGGCAGUGUUCAAGUCAAGUGCUGGGUGCUGAAAAAGUUAAGCAGAGACCUCUAGAAGGCAAGUCUUUCAAAUGGGGAAAGAGCACAGGAGGGAAAAUUUGGGCAAAAAGGUCAAAAAUUGGAACUUUGACUAUUUUCUGCCUAGCAGGCGGGCCCUGAACCAAAUUCCCCUUUGCUUGCUCUUUGGGGCAAGGCUGAGUUAGUAAGCUAUAAAUUCCACUAGCGUAAGUGUGAGGAAUGUGGAGAUGAAUGUGGGGAAGUCUUCGUUCCAGAGGAAAGGGCAUGACAGUGGGCCAGCUGGAGAUGGAAGACAGAACAUAUCCCAAGUGCCAACGGAGAUUUGAAAUUAGAAUCUGGGCUCAACCUGCAUCUAGGUUUUAAGAACUCUGUAAGUGGAUAAGGCUGUCAAGUAGUUGGAGGAAAUUUUCUAGAGACCUGAAGUGACACAGCAUUGAUUGGCCAAGAAAAAUGAUCAGCAUAGUUAUCUGAUCAUUUGAGUCAAUAUAUCUUCUUGGCAAAGAGGAGCAUUUGUGCAGGGCUCUAGGAGCUGGAGGGGAAAGGGCAACCGAAGAGAGAGCCCCGUGAAGGUGAGCAGGAGGAGGUCAGCUGGUGCCCAGAGAAGCCCAUCUGGGCUUAUCAAAGGCAGCUUGAUGGAGACGGGUUGUCUAAACAACGUGCCAAAUUUCUGGUGGGUUGUGGAUGACGCCCUCCCAUAGAACUCAUGGCCUGGGAUCCAGGCCUGGAGCUUACUUUGGAACUUGCUCUGGAGGAUCAUUUUUAUUGGGAAGUGUGGUUUGGAAUGUAAAACUCUUGAGAACUCUAUCUUUGAAGAUCAAUGUUUGCUGGCACAAACUAAGGCGCUUUGGGUUCUUGGAUAUUUAAACUACUGCCUAUUUCCUUACUGUGAUUAGACUAGGUGUAAAACAAUGGUUUCAAGGAAUUCAAGGAUGAUGACCCUCUUAAGGUUUGUUUGGAGUGCAGGGAUUAAAACUGUGCUUUCUUAACGUGAACUCACCCGGUCAUUGGGUGGGUGAACAGCAGCAAAGGUAUCGCAUUAAUGGCCAGAAAUGGGGACUCUGGACCAACUCUGCCGUUCAGGUGUGAAGUUGGGCAAGCCAUUGACCCUCUUCGUGUCUCAUUUUCCUUACUUUUAACGUGGAGAUGCUACUAUCUUCUUGUCAAAGUGAAAUAAAGUAAUAAGUGACCAAGUGCUUUUUUAAGUAUAAAAAUCGAUUCGACUGCAUUAUAUGAAAAAGGCCCGAGAGUCUGCGUUUAAAUCCCAGUUCUGUGAUUUACCGCCUGUGUAAUCUUGGACAUACUUCUUAACUGUCAGUGCCUUUAUUCCCCGAUCUCUAAGCACCUCUCUCAGAAAGGUGUUGUGGAGAUAGAAUAAUGUAGGUGAAGCACCUGGCUUAUAGAUGGGACUUAUAAAUGAUACUGGUUGUGAUUAUGACUCUUAUCAAGCAAGAUAGACAUGCUAAGUUUUUAUACUAGUACUUAACCUGGUAUAUGGUACAUUCUGAUUAUUAUUACCAUUAUCCUUAAUGUUUCUACCAGAUAUGAAAACCAUGUAGAACAUUUAGAGACAGAAUUUCUCUUGCCUGUCUAGAUAAUGGCUGAGUAAAACAGAAGUAAAUCCAGUCUACGCAGAGAGCAACCUGGCCUUUAUUGAACCUAAAGCUUUUCCCACCGCCCCCAGAAAUCCUGUUGCACAAGAGUUUUUAUUUUAUUCAAAUGGGAACAAUGAAUGGACUAAAACCACUAACAGUAUUUAAUGCAUAGGCCUUUGACAUGAUUUCUCAGCAAUAACCUAGUGGUAACCACAGCCACACAAGACUAAUGUUCUGCCAGAAGCCUCAAAGCCAGGCUGGUGUCCUUCCUCUAACUCACCACAAGAGAUUGUACCAAAGCAGUGGGGUAGAAGGAGCCCAUAUUUUAAAAAUUACAGGACAAAGAAACUGGAGUCCAAAAUAUUCAUAGGCAGGAUGUAUAAUAAUCUCAUAAUAUCCAUAACUGCCAAGGGAGAACUAAUGACACCAGCAUGCUUUAUCUGGUAAAACAAAAAGAAAAUGGUAGGGAAACAAAAUUGGUUAAGCUUGCUAGAAAGCUCAUAAAACACCUAGAUAUUUCUUUUUCUAGGCCAAGGGUCUAAUGGUUACAUCUAAGUUUUUUUUUUCUGCCCAUUACAUUUUUUUGGAGGCAGGUCUAUUUUUGUGUUUAAUGAGUCUCUGAAAACGUACAUGAAAAGUUUAAUAUAUGAAAAUCAAGCAAUAGCCUUACAUGUUAUGUGGGGAAUUUUAUCCUCAAGAGCUAAAAAAAAAAAAAAAAAGAUAAUGUCCCUAGUAGAUGUUAUAAAUGUUUUAAUCUUGGAUUGAAAAUAGAAACCUGAAUGUUAAUACAAUAUAUGUGAUUAUUAAAAAUGUUCAAAAUACAAAUUAAACAUUAAAUACAGGCAA